CGUUCCUUUCCCUGUUUCCCCAACCCACUGCCCUAUUUUAAGAUCACUUUUCUAGCCACCUCCACUCCCCCCCAUUUCCUAUUUCCUGAUAUGUGUAGAUGCUUCUAAAUUAUAUGCACAGAAUUCUAAAUAAGUCUAAAUAUGUUUGCUAGGAUCAGCAAAGAGUCAGGACAGAUGCAGAGCUGUUGUUAUGGUGGGCUUUAGGGGCAGAAGCUUCUAUGUGGGGUCUUAUAGCCCUGGAUCUAUACAAGUGGUAGAUGGGGCAUUAGGAAAUUUAAGACUUUUGGGGGGCUUAAGGUAGCCACCCUCAGUUUUCCUCUCAAAAAAUGAUUCACUAGUACAGUGCUACUGAUCUACGAAGAGUUACAUGAGCGGGUCUAAUCUGUAUUAGAAGGAAAAUUAAGACACAGGGAUGGAUGGAGAUGGGGAUGAGUUUUUGAGGUCAGUGAGAAUCAUUGACUCCCUUUGGGGGAAACUGGUGAUCAUUAACUGUCUUUGGUACAAGAACAGGAAAUUAUUGGCUAACAGGAUGUGAGGUUGAAAUAUUGUGUGUGAUAUACUGAUUAAAUGGGAAAAUUUAGGGUCACACACCGCCUGGAUGAUGUUUGUAUCAUUACAUGGAUAAAAGAUUGAGAAUAGAAGCUGGUGGAGGAAAUUGGUGACAUCACUGAGGUGAGUUGAGGAACAAUUGGACAGCAUGGUAAAGGGCCUUCAAGGUGGAGGUUAUGUGCAUUAAUUUGCUGGCUAAGGGUCUGGAACUGUGGGCAAGUAUGGUGGACAUUUAGGGUACGGGGGGGUCAUACAGCAAGUAAAGGUAUUGCUAAAAUGUCAUAGUUCCACAUUUUAUGAGAAAUACUAACUCCAGCAAAGCAAAUAAUGGCACCAAAAAUAUUUCUUUAGAAAGUCAUUGUUACUUAUUUAUAGCAUAAUUUUGCAUAAAUGUAUUGGUUACAAUACUUAAAGUCAACCCAUUACUUAUAAAAACAAUUGCAACUGAUUAGUAUAGCACAAACAGCAGAUUUUCUUAAAACAAAUGAAGCACUUUGUAUUUAUUUUUAAUAAUAAGGAUGAACAAAGACUACAUAGUAACAGAUUACAUACUAACAGUUAUGUGCUGGGUGCAUUUUGAGAUUAAACUCCAUUUUUUUGUUUCAAAAAUCAGUUUCAAACUUGUUCACAUAAUGACAAUUUCAAGUAAAAAACACUCAUGUUAACAUAUUUAUAAGUCAUGUUAAGGUAAUUAUUAAAGGAACACUAUAGUCACCUAAAUUACUUUUGCUAAAUAAAGCAGUUUUAGUGUAUAGAUCAUUCCCCUGC
This is a non-coding RNA of Pelobates cultripes (western spadefoot toad), 1317 nucleotides long. NCBI's taxonomy places the organism in Eukaryota, Metazoa, Chordata, Amphibia, Anura, Pelobatidae. The record is from the annotation of a GenBank genome assembly.